This is a long non-coding RNA of Macaca mulatta (Rhesus monkey), 381 nucleotides long. RefSeq lists it as uncharacterized. Lineage: Eukaryota; Metazoa; Chordata; Mammalia; Primates; Cercopithecidae. The record is from RefSeq and is a predicted model, not a curated record.
CAGCUCACACUGCGCUCACUCCUCUGAUGUGGCUCCAGUUCAUGAACUUGACAGGGUUCUCCAUCAACUUGUGGGGUUGUUUACCCUCCUGAGGAGUUGAAAAGGCAACGUUGUUGAGCUGGGAUUUUCAGCAUUAUAAACUCCGAAAACGCAAAAUCAAGAAGAUCCAAUGAUGUCUCGUGAGUAAACAUAGUAUAAUAUGCGACAAAAUAGUUACUCAACAUAUUCAAGUGCAUUUAUGUGGUCAUCAUAAUGCAAUGAGGUAUGCAUGUAUAGGAAAACACAUAGUAUAUAUGGGGUUCGAGACUAUCUGAGGAUUCAGGCAUCCACUGAGGGGCUUGACACAUAACUUCCACUAAUAAGGGGGAACUACUGUAUAUA